This 440-nucleotide ribosomal RNA is filed under the name uncultured bacterium. Its description in RNAcentral is "partial 16S ribosomal RNA". It matches the Rfam family "Bacterial small subunit ribosomal RNA", at positions 338 to 795 of the family's 1533-position model. The record is from RNAcentral.
CCUACGGGAGGCAGCAGUAGGGAAUAUUGCUCAAUGGGGGAAACCCUGAAGCAGCAACGCCGCGUGUAGGAUGAAGGUUUUCGGAUUGUAAACUCCUUUUGUUAGAGAAGAUAAUGACGGUAUCUAACGAAUAAGCACCGGCUAACUCCGUGCCAGCAGCCGCGGUCAUACGGAGGGUGCAAGCGUUACUCGGAAUCACUGGGCGUAAAGAGCGCGGAGGCGGGAUAGCAAGUCAGAUGUGAAAUCCUAUGGCUUAACCAUAGAACUGCAUUUGAAACUGGUAGUCUAGAGUAUGGUAGAGGUAGGUGGAAUUCUUGGUGUAGGGGUGAAAUCCGUAGAGAUCAAGAGGAAUACCCGUGGCGAAGGCGGCCUGCUGGAACAAGACUGACGCUGAUGUGCGAAAGCGUGGGGAGCAAACAGGAUUAGAUACCCUUGUAGUC